Molecule: ribosomal RNA, 425 nt
Filed under: uncultured bacterium
Lineage: Bacteria
Description: partial 16S ribosomal RNA
Rfam family: Bacterial small subunit ribosomal RNA
Source: RNAcentral
GUGAGGAAUUUUGCGCAAUGGGGGCAACCCUGACGCAGCGACGCCGCGUGGAGGACGAAGUCUUUCGGGAUGUAAACUCCUGUCAGUGGGGACGAUAAUGACGGUACCCACAGAGGAAGCACCGGCUAACUCCGUGCCAGCAGCCGCGGUAAGACGGAGGGUGCAAGCGUUGUUCGGAAUUACGGGGCGUAAAGCGUAUGUAGGCGGCAAGUUAAGUUCAAUGUUAAAGCCCACGGCUCAACCGAGGAGAUGCAUUGAAUACUGGCUAGCUAGAGGGUGUUAGAGGAAGACGGAAUUCCCAGUGUAGCGGUGAAAUGCGUAGAUAUUGGGAGGAACAUCGGUAGCGAAAGCGGUCUUCUGGGACAUACCUGACGCUGAGGUACGAAAGCGUGGGGAGCAAACGGGAUUAGAAACCCUAGUAGUCC